UCUAUGAAGAUGAGUAUGACGUGUUCUCUCCCUCUUCUGCGGGGACCAAAGNUGACAGGGUUGGGUGCAUGGUCUGUCCGUUCAGCUCCGGUUGUCCGUGAGAUGUUUGGGGUUUAAGUUCCCGGCCAACGAGCGGCCAACCCCUUUAGUUCUUAUUUAGGUUUGGCCCAAUGCAUUUAAAGGUUUGGGGCCAACUUCUUAGAAUGAGACUGCCGGGUGACCAAACCGGGAGGAAAGGUGGGGAUGACGUCCAAAUCAUCAUGCCCCUUAUGAUCUUGGGCUACACACGUGCUACAAUGGAUCGGUACAAACGGAGCAGCGAAGCCCGCGAGGUCAAGCAGUAAUCCUCUAUAAACCGAUUCUCAGUUCGGAUUGUAGUCUGCAACUCGACUACAUGAAGCUGGAAUCGCUGUAUCGUGAUCAGCAUCUCGGUAUA
RNAcentral lists this ribosomal RNA (436 nucleotides) under uncultured bacterium. RNAcentral's name for it is "partial 16S ribosomal RNA". It matches the Rfam family "Bacterial small subunit ribosomal RNA", at positions 989 to 1363 of the family's 1533-position model. The record is from RNAcentral.